RNAcentral lists this ribosomal RNA (827 nucleotides) under uncultured bacterium. RNAcentral's name for it is "bacterial SSU rRNA". It matches the Rfam family "Bacterial small subunit ribosomal RNA", at positions 15 to 889 of the family's 1533-position model. The record is from RNAcentral.
GAUCAUGGCUCAGAACGUACGCUGGCGGCACGCCUAACACAUGCAAGUCGAACGAAGUAGCAAUACUUAGUGGCAGACGGGUGAGUAACAUGUAGGUAUCUGCCCUUUGGCCUGGAAUAACACGAGGAAACUUGUGCUAAUACCGGAUAAGUCUUUACGGAGAAAGCUUUAUGCACCAUUGGAUGAGCCUGCACUUGAUUAGUUUGUUGGUGGGGUAAUGGCCUACCAAGACUGUGAUCAAUAGCUGAUUUGAGAGGAUGAUCAGCCACAUUGGGACUGAGACACGGCCCAAACUCCUACGGGAGGCAGCAGUGGGGAAUCUUGCACAAUGGAGGAAACUCUGAUGCAGCGAUGCCGCGUGAGUGAAGAAGGCCUUUGGGUUGUAAAGCUCUUUCGUCGGGGAAGAAAAUGACUGUACCCGAAUAAGAAGGUCCGGCUAACUUCGUGCCAGCAGCCGCGGUAAUACGAAGGGACCUAGCGUAGUUCGGAAUUACUGGGCUUAAAGAGUUCGUAGGUGGUUGAAAAAGUUGGUGGUGAAAUCCCAGAGCUUAACUCUGGAACUGCCAUCAAAACUUUUUAGCUAGAGUAUGAUAGAGGAAAGCAGAAUUUCUAGUGUAGAGGUGAAAUUCGUAGAUAUUAGAAAGAAUACCAAUUGCGAAGGCAGCUUUUCUGGAUCAUUACUGACACUGAGGAACGGAAGCAUGGGUAGCGAAGAGGAUUAGAUACCCUCGUAGUCCAUGCCGUAAACGAUGUGUGUUAGACGUUGGAAAUUUAUUUUCAGUGUCGUAGCGAAAGCGAUAAACACACCGCCUGGGGAGUACGACCGC